RNAcentral lists this ribosomal RNA (451 nucleotides) under uncultured bacterium. Its description in RNAcentral is "bacterial SSU rRNA". It matches the Rfam family "Bacterial small subunit ribosomal RNA", at positions 354 to 796 of the family's 1533-position model. The record is from RNAcentral.
GUGGGGAAUAUUGGACAAUGGGGGGAACCCUGAUCCAGCCAUGCCGCGUGUGUGAAGAAGGCCUUUUGGUUGUAAAGCACUUUAAGCGAGGAGGAGGCUACCGAGAUUAAUACUCUUGGAUAGUGGACGUUACUCGCAGAAUAAGCACCGGCUAACUCUGUGCCAGCAGCCGCGGUAAUACAGAGGGUGCAAGCGUUAAUCGGAUUUACUGGGCGUAAAGCGCGCGUAGGUGGCCAAUUAAGUCAAAUGUGAAAUCCCCGAGCUUAACUUGGGAAUUGCAUUCGAUACUGGUUGGCUAGAGUAUGGGAGAGGAUGGUAGAAUUCCAGGUGUAGCGGUGAAAUGCGUAGAGAUCUGGAGGAAUACCGAUGGCGAAGGCAGCCAUCUGGCCUAAUACUGACACUGAGGUGCGAAAGCAUGGGGAGCAAACAGGAUUAGAUACCCCGGUAGUCC